Long non-coding RNA from Cygnus olor (mute swan), 283 nucleotides. RefSeq lists it as uncharacterized. NCBI's taxonomy places the organism in Eukaryota, Metazoa, Chordata, Aves, Anseriformes, Anatidae. The record is from RefSeq and is a predicted model, not a curated record. The transcript is spliced from 3 exons.
UAAAACUGCAGCCUUCGUGAGCAUGGGUCAGCAUUAAGUUUGUUCUCAUACAGAAGCAGAUUCUCACAGAAGAUUUUGGAGCACAAACUGCUAAGAAAGAAGGUGUGAAGACAAAACCACUGAAAUAAUAAGGAUCUGGGAGAUGCACUCAGGCGAGCAAUUGGGGAAAUCUGGAUGACAGGCUCCAAAAUCCUUUGUGAAGGCAGGUAUUUCCCCUGGUGGUGAACUGUGCAGUCUUUCGGGCCAGGAGGCGCGGGUCUGAAUGCCAGGUGACAUUUACAGG